RNAcentral lists this ribosomal RNA (253 nucleotides) under uncultured bacterium. RNAcentral describes it as "partial 16S ribosomal RNA". It matches the Rfam family "Bacterial small subunit ribosomal RNA", at positions 524 to 776 of the family's 1533-position model. The record is from RNAcentral.
UACGUAGGGUGCGAGCGUUGUCCGGAAUUAUUGGGCGUAAAGAGCUCGUAGGCGGUUUGUUGCGUCGGCUGUGAAAACUCGGGGCUCAACCCCGAGCCUGCAGUCGAUACGGGCAGACUAGAGUGCUGUAGGGGAGACUGGAAUUCCUGGUGUAGCGGUGAAAUGCGCAGAUAUCAGGAGGAACACCGGUGGCGAAGGCGGGUCUCUGGGCCGUAACUGACGCUGAGGAGCGAAAGCGUGGGGAGCGAACAGG